UCUUGUCUCAAAGAUUAAGCCAUGCAUGUCUAAGUAUAAGCAACUUGUACUGUGAAACUGCGAAUGGCUCAUUAAAUCAGUUAUCGUUUAUUUGAUAGUACCUUACUACAUGGAUACCUGUGGUAAUUCUAGAGCUAAUACAUGCUAAAAACCCCGACUUCAGGGAGGGGUGUAUUUAUUAGAUAAAAAACCAACGCCCUUCGGGGCUCCUUGGUGAAUCAUAAUAACUUAACGAAUCGCAUGGCCUUGCGCCGGCGAUGGUUCAUUCAAAUUUCUGCCCUAUCAACUUUCGAUGGUAGGAUAGUGGCCUACCAUGGUGGCAACGGGUAACGGGGAAUUAGGGUUCGAUUCCGGAGAGGGAGCCUGAGAAACGGCUACCACAUCCAAGGAAGGCAGCAGGCGCGCAAAUUACCCAAUCCCGAUACGGGGAGGUAGUGACAAUAAAUACUGAUACGGGGCUCUUUUGGGUCUCGUAAUUGGAAUGAGAACAAUUUAAAUCCCUUAACGAGGAACAAUUGGAGGG
Molecule: ribosomal RNA, 523 nt
Filed under: Penicillium raistrickii
Lineage: Eukaryota; Fungi; Ascomycota; Eurotiomycetes; Eurotiales; Aspergillaceae
Description: SSU rRNA
Rfam family: Eukaryotic small subunit ribosomal RNA
Source: RNAcentral